This 497-nucleotide ribosomal RNA is filed under the name uncultured bacterium. Its description in RNAcentral is "partial 16S ribosomal RNA". It matches the Rfam family "Bacterial small subunit ribosomal RNA", at positions 28 to 507 of the family's 1533-position model. The record is from RNAcentral.
GAUGAACGCUGGCGGCGUGCCUAAUACAUGCGAGUCGAGCGAACGGACGAGAAGCUUGCUUUUCUGAUGUUAGCGGCGGACGGGUGAGUAACACGUGGAUAACCUACCUAUAAGACUGGGAUAACUUCGGGAAACCGGAGCUAAUACCGGAUAAUAUUUUGAACCGCAUGGUUCAAAAGUGAAAGACGGUCUUGCUGUCACUUAUAGAUGGAUCCGCGCUGCAUUAGCUAGUUGGUAAGGUAACGGCUUACCAAGGCAACGAUGCAUAGCCGACCUGAGAGGGUGAUCGGCCACCCUGGAACUGAGACACGGUCCAGACUCCGACGGGAGGCAGCAGUAGGGAAUCUUCCGCAAUGGGCGAAAGCCUGACGGAGCAACGCCGCGUGAGUGAUGAAGGUCUUCGGAUCGUAAAACUCUGUUAUUAGGGAAGAACAUAUGUGUAAGUAACUGUGCACAUCUUGACGGUACCUAAUCAGAAAGCCACGGCUAACUACGUG